Choloepus didactylus (southern two-toed sloth) is the source of this 3238-nucleotide RNA transcript. It is a transcript of the gene named zona pellucida sperm-binding protein 3 receptor-like, with no coding region annotated. The transcript has 6 exons. The record is from RefSeq and is a predicted model, not a curated record. Lineage: Eukaryota; Metazoa; Chordata; Mammalia; Pilosa; Megalonychidae.
UAUCUAACCCAUGGUUUUCCUUUCUUCUCUUAGAGUACAUAUUUCCUGUUCUCCGUUGACAUUUCCCAUAUUCUGCCUGGUGUUGUGACUUAACUGUUCAUGUUUUCUUCCUUCACAUCCCAACAAGAUGCAAAUGUGCUUCCACAGAAUUUAGUACAACACUCUAAAUAUAGUAUAUAUCAAUCAAUGUUCGUUGGGCUAAUAAAAAUUUAUUUAACAUGAAACUCAGAAAAGGCCAUAUUUGCACUCUACACUGCAAGUCUAUUGCCUUCACCACAAAUUUGUAUUUUGGAACUACUCUUUUCAGAGGCACAUGCUAAAUGCUUUUGAUAUGGAGCGGUAUGGAAUGUGCCCCCUGCUCUCAGAAUGCAAUCUGGAAUAAAGAUUUGUCCAUCUAUCUCUCUCUCCACUGACAUAGAUCUGUAUACAUGCAUGCCAUAAUACAACUUUCAAAUGAAUGGGACACAGAAUAGAAGGUAGCACAGAGCGCAGAUUUUGAAGGCAAACAGACCUGAACUGGACUUCUGGUGCCUCCAAUCAUUGCAAUGACCUUGCAUGAUUUAUUUAGUCUGCUUUUAUUUAUUAUUUAUUUUUCUCUUAGUCUGUUUCCUCAUCCAUAAAUGGGGUGAUAACACAUAAUAAAGUUGUUCUGAGAAUUAAAAGGGAUAUUGUAAAUGAAGUGCUUAAUGCAGUGGUUGGCACGUAGUUAGAUACUCUUGUUUUUACUAAGAAGUGUUUUGGGAGUUUGAAGAAAAUGAAGAUUGUUGUGUGCUGGAGACAGUCAGGGGUUUUCACAGGGAAAGGGGACGACUUGAAUUAGAUGAGUGGUGAGGAGGCUCAAGGGAAUGUUAAGGAGAAGGGAGUACAUAAGCAAACGUAACACACUUUGAGAGAAUGUUCUCUGACAGUGAGUUUUCAGAGGGAAAAGCCAGGAAAAGUUUUUCUAAAUAUCCAUGGGUUGCUAUUUAUAGAAAAUACAAAAUCAUAAAAAAAAUUCAGCCAUAAUAAGAAAUGUUUCCUAAAAAUCUCUUUUAAAUUAUUUGCAUUUAUCAUUGUAUUACAUUUUUUAAAUUAAAUUCUCAAGAAUUUGUGAAACCUGAUAUAAUAUCUUUUCAUAUAGGCUAAUUCUUAUUUCAUCAGUCAGGUCAUAAUUUUUUAUUUUUUCCUAAGAUUUCUCUCUAUAAAAGAUUAAAAAAACACAAUAAGGGGAUUCUUGGGUGGAGAGUAUGAAGAUCCUUGGGGUUUCUGGAUUUGCACAAAGGCCUUAUGAGUUUUCAUGAAGCAAUGUCUCUGUAUUUACCACAAAUGUUUCUUGAGUAAUCCAUUUAAAACAAACCAACAAAAACUGUCCUCCAUUGCUGUCAGUAAACUUUAUCCCAAACUCCUGCACUGUCCCAAAGCAGCACACAUUUUAGCUAAAGCAGCAUGCUGUCAAUAUUAUGGACUGUGCAGAGCAAGACUACACAAGUUCAAAUCCUGACUCUGCUCCUCCCUAGCUAUGUGAUCUUGAGCAAGCUAUCUAACCUGUGCUUCAUUUCCCCAUUUGUAAAAUGGAGAUAAUAAUAAUACCUACCUCACAGGGCCAUUUGGGGGGUUAAAUGGGUUAAUAUUUGUGAAGUUAACAUAUUUGUAAAAUUUAAUGUUUGUAAAAUUAUUACAGAAUAUUGCAAAUAUUUUAAAUACUGCCUAACACACUAGAGUAAGCACUACACACACAUACACACACACACACACUUGUUAAAUAUAUAAAAUUAUUGAAGAAAAAUAGCCUUAUACAAGGUGAGGAGUCAAUUCCUCCUCCCCCAAAUACGCAUACACAUACUCAAUCACAAGGUAAUGCGGAGGGCAGCCUCACUUUGUGGAUUAUGCAAGUUAUCUUGUAGGUAGUGGAAUUAAUUGGGAAGGGUAAAAGUUUUCCAAGAAAUCCCCUUAGUUCUGUGCUGUUUUCUCUAAUGAGUCAGAAAAAAGUCCCUCUCUCUCUCCCACCAUUCAAGGUUGCAGUCUGCCUCCCAGAAUUAUACAUGGACACUCUAAAGUUGUUAGUAGAUUAAUAUCAUUCCAUACUGAGGUGAAGUAUGAAUGUGAUGAAGGAUAUGAGCUGGUUGGAGAGGCUAAAAUCUCCAGCAUGUUUUCAAAAUAGUCAUCGCUGGCUCCUCAAUGUAAAGGAGAAAACUGAGGCAAGGAGAGAAGUCCUGUACUUCAGAGGCAAAUAGCUCAGAAUCUGGAAUUAGAUACCCCUAGGUUCACAGCCAGCUCUGCCACUUAAAAGUGGUAUAACUUGGGGCAAGGCGUUUAGCCUUUUUGUGCCUGAGCUGCCUCAUCUCUUCAAUGGGGAUAACCAUAAUACCUCUCUUAAAGGGCUGUUGAAGACUUACAUGAGCUCUGUGCCUAAAACCCAAAAUACCAAAUGGACGGCUAUCUGUGGAGAAGGACCAGUAUGUCAACUCUGAAACUGUCACUGUCCAGUGCAACCCUGGCUACACUUUGGUUGGCUCCCAGAAAAUCUUUUGCUCAGAGAAGAAAUCUUGGAGCCCAGAUGUACCCACGUGUGAGAGGGAAGUCCCUGAAUAUCAUGGAAUAAUCCUGUCUGGCAGAAACCUCUUACGGUGUCUCCCAAAUUCUCAGGAUACAAAAUUGGCCCUGGAGUUAAAUAAAGUAUCUGUGGAGAUUGAAAAUCUGGAGCAAGAGAGAGACAAGGAGAAGAAAACCAUUUAAAUACACUGCACCUCUUUUCCCAAGAAGAUAGAGAAAAGAUUUGCUUUUCUGUACACUCUAUAGAGAAAACCUAGUGUAUUAACUCCACUUGAGCAUCAUCAUUCAUUGCAAUAAACAACUUUUGCAACCUUGCUAAUAUGUGUAGUGCUCCUGGGAAUGUGGAACUACUGAUAAUUUAUACGAUUAUCACUCAGCUUAAGUUUUUACCUUUCUUAAUUUAGCCAGCUGGCUGAAGUAAAUAAUUACCUAUUAAAAAUCAGAUUGUCCCAAUCUUCAUUUGGAUACCUAUGCCUAUAAUAUGAGUGCCCUGCACAUGUCCACUUCCUAAAGUUAGAAUUUCUGUUUGGGGUAAUGCCAGCAAAAUGCUGGAAUAAGAUGGGCCAGUGAACAUCCCUUCUUGGAAACAGAGAAAAAUGGACAGAAUCAAGUUUCUCAAAACUCUGGAAGAUGAGUGAGAGUAGAUAACAACUCAACAAAUGCAAAAUCAGGAACAAAACAACUAAAAAUGUCCCCUAACCCAGAA